UACGUAGGGGGCUAGCGUUGUCCGGAAUCAUUGGGCGUAAAGAGCGUGUAGGCGGCCCGGUAAGUCCGCUGUAAAAGUCAAAGGCUCAACCUUUGAAUGUCAGUGGAUACUGCCGGGCUAGAGUCCGGAAGAGGCGAGUGGAAUUCCUGGUGUAGCGGUGGAAUGCGCAGAUAUCAGGAGGAACACCAAUAGCGAAGGCAGCUCGCUGGGACGGUACUGACGCUGAGGCGCGAAAGCGUGGGGAGCGAACAGG
RNAcentral lists this ribosomal RNA (253 nucleotides) under uncultured bacterium. Its description in RNAcentral is "partial 16S ribosomal RNA". It matches the Rfam family "Bacterial small subunit ribosomal RNA", at positions 524 to 776 of the family's 1533-position model. The record is from RNAcentral.